UACAGAGGGUGCAAGCGUUAAUCGGAAUUACUGGGCGUAAAGCGUGCGUAGACGGUUAUGUAAGUCGGGUGUGAAAGCCCCGGGCUCAACCUGGGAAUUGCAUUCGAGACUGUGUAGCUAGGGUACGGAAGAGGGAAGCGGAAUUUCAGGUGUAGCGGUGAAAUGCGUAGAUAUCUGAAGGAACACCAGUGGCGAAAGCGGCUUCCUGGUCCAGUACCGACGUUCAGGCACGAAAGCGUGGGGAGCAAACCGG
RNAcentral lists this ribosomal RNA (253 nucleotides) under uncultured bacterium. Its description in RNAcentral is "partial 16S ribosomal RNA". It matches the Rfam family "Bacterial small subunit ribosomal RNA", at positions 524 to 776 of the family's 1533-position model. The record is from RNAcentral.